Molecule: non-coding RNA, 79 nt
Organism: Betta splendens (Siamese fighting fish)
Lineage: Eukaryota; Metazoa; Chordata; Actinopteri; Anabantiformes; Osphronemidae
Source: the annotation of a RefSeq genome assembly
GUUGUGGCCGAGUGGUUAAGGCGAUGGACUCGAAAUCCGUUGGGGUCUCCCUGCGCAGGUUCAAAUCCUGCCGUCUUCG